AAGUCGUAACAAGGUUUCCGUAGGUGAACCUGCGGAAGGAUCAUUAAAAAAAUUUUGAGGUAUUUUAUACCUCUUGUAUUUAAAACCCAACUCUUUUAAACCUAAUUUUUUAAUAAAAAAAACUUUCAACAACGGAUCUCUUGGCUCUC
RNAcentral lists this unclassified non-coding RNA (149 nucleotides) under Scutellospora alterata. Its description in RNAcentral is "partial internal transcribed spacer region". The stretch from base 1 to 46 matches the Rfam family "Eukaryotic small subunit ribosomal RNA", at positions 1786 to 1831 of the family's 1831-position model. The record is from RNAcentral. Lineage: Eukaryota; Fungi; Glomeromycota; Glomeromycetes; Diversisporales; Gigasporaceae.